Molecule: ribosomal RNA, 488 nt
Filed under: uncultured bacterium
Lineage: Bacteria
Description: bacterial SSU rRNA
Rfam family: Bacterial small subunit ribosomal RNA
Source: RNAcentral
GAUGAACGCUGGCGGCAUGCCUAAGACAUGCAAGUCGAACGGCAGCAUGGGUGCUUGCACCUGAUGGCGAGUGGCGAACGGGUGAGUAAUACAUCGGAAACGUACCAAGUAAUGGGGGAUAACUACUCGAAAGAGUGGCUAAUACCGCAUACGCCCUUAGGGGGAAAGCAGGGGAUCUUCGGACCUUGCGUUAUUUGAGCGGCCGAUGUCUGAUUAGCUAGGUUGGUGGGGUAAGAGCCUACCAAGGCGACGAUCAGUAGCGGGUCUGAGAGGAUGAUCCGCCACACUGGGACUGAGACACGGCCCAGACUCCUACGGGAGGCAGCAGUGGGGAAUUUUGGACAAUGGGCGAAAGCCUGAUCCAGCCAUGCCGCGUGUAUGAAGAAGGCCUUCGGGUUGUAAAGUACUUUUGUUAGGGAAGAAAAGCUUGUUGCUAAUAUCAGCAAGCCAUGACGGUACCUAAAGAAUAAGCACCGGCUAACUACGUG